Molecule: long non-coding RNA, 1738 nt
Organism: Silurus meridionalis
Lineage: Eukaryota; Metazoa; Chordata; Actinopteri; Siluriformes; Siluridae
Exons: 2
Source: RefSeq, a predicted model, not a curated record
ACCAGGGAGCUGAAAGAGACAGCAAUUUUAAUGAAUUAUAAUCACAGUAAUAGAUUGCUCAAAUAGCGUGUAUUGCACAUGUGUACACAUAUAUGCACUCUAUAUACACGUGUGUGUGUGUGUGUGUGUGUGUGUGUGAGAAGCGGUUUGAAAUUCGUAUUAUACACACCUCGGUAUUGUCACAACAUGACAGCAUAGAGAGAGAGAGAGAGAGAGAGAGAGAGAGAGAGAGAGAGAGAGAGAGAGAAAACAGGAAAUCGAGGAAUGUGCUUCGAUAUAUAUAUAUAUAUUUUUUUUACUUCUGCAUGUCGAUAUGACCAGAAGAGAAAGAGAAGAAAAGUAGGAAAGAAGAAAAAAGAGAAAGUACUAAAAAAAGAAAAACGCAAAAAGACACGUCCAAUCGAUCACGUACACAGAGCGGCGACAGCGACGAAACACCGAAACGAUGGAAAGGACGCCAUGUCUCGCAGUUUUUUUGGGGGAAAAACAAACAAACAAAAAAACAAAAAACACCACCACCAAAAAAACAAAAAAAGUCAAAUAUACCAAAAACCUCGGCGAUCGUCGGGGCACUACAUACACACGUCACGUGAAAUAUCAAUAAAUAUACAUAUUGACCGAUGAGCAGGAUAGUGCGAAAAGCUGACACACACUACUGUUCUCCCUGUGUCCACCUGCCACUGAUUUACUUAUUCAUUAUUUUAUUCGUUUAUUUAUUUAUUCAUUUAUUUAAAUUUGGUCUGCCUAUUGCUCUCGCUCCGAAAAAAAAGCAAAGCAAAAAAAAAAAAAAACAAACACCCAAACAAAUAGUGCAGACCGAACAUCCAACAUGGCUGUCCGUCUGACACACACACACACACACACACACACACACACACACACACACACACACAUAUUUAUUUGUUUCUUUUUCAACAGGUUUUAGACACGAACGAUGACGAGACACUGUCACAGUUACUGCCUGUUUUCACACACACACAUUUAAAUACAUAAAGUACGGCGUGUUUAAGUGUCACAUGACCAGCGGACCUUCCUGACCACGCCCACUGUUCUGGGAAAACAAACAAACAAACAAAAACGUCCCGUAAUACACGUGUGUGUGUGUGUGUGUGUGUGUGUGUGUGUGUGUGUGUGUGUGUGUGUGUGUGUGUGUGUGUGUGUGUGUGUGUGUGUGUGUGUGUGUGUGUGUAACAUUAACUGUAGUAUAAAAGGCACUGAGUUGGCCCACGUUCCGUUAACAAAUACAAAAACCAUCCACAUGUUUCAGUCAGUGAGACAGUAAUUAAAUCAGUGAUUGAGUCAAUGAGGCAGUCAGUGGGACAGAUGCUGAAAAAGUCAGUCAGAGAGUCAGUGAUUGUGUCAGUAAGUGACUUAGUGAGAGAGUCAGUGAGUCAAUCAGUCAGUGAGUCAGUAUGUGAGUCAGUCAGUGAGUCAGGGAGUUAAUAACUCAGUGAGUGAGUCAGUGAGAAAAUCAGCAAUAGUCAGUAGGACAGCCUUUAAGAAAGUUGGUGAGAAAGUCAGUCCUUCAGUCAGUUGAACAUUCAGUGAGACAGUGGAUCAGUCAGUGAGACAGACAGUAAGUUAAUGACUCAGUAAGUCAGUCAGUAAGUUAAUGACUCAGUGAGUCAGUCAAGUCAGUGAGUUAAUGACUCAGUGAUUCAGUGUGCUUUCUUCUUGAGUGUUCUUGUGCAUGAAGCGAUGUGUAUGUCUGUGUAAGUGUAUGUUUGUGUAUAUGUGU